Molecule: long non-coding RNA, 331 nt
Organism: Bradysia coprophila
Lineage: Eukaryota; Metazoa; Arthropoda; Insecta; Diptera; Sciaridae
Gene: Mnt
Source: RefSeq, a predicted model, not a curated record
UCGUGUUUCGAAAAGCGUUGAGUGUGUAUUUUCUACUCUGAAUUGAAGUAAUCAACAUCUCGCACGUUAUUCAACACUUUACAUGAAUUUUUCAGUACUUUUUCAUUAAAUCAUAUCUUAAGCAGUAUAAUAAUUUGUGUGUGCAAAUGUGUCAUUUGUGAUUGCUUAAAAGUUUCCAAAUUGCAAUUCCGUCGAAAAAAUCAAAGUGAAAAAUAUUAUUCAGUGCAAUCAUUUAUAUAAUUGAAAACAAACAAACAAACAAAAAAAAAAUAUUGUGCAAAGCUGUACUGAAAACCGAGUGGAAAAUCAACCAUACGCGAACAGCAAUAAU